Molecule: ribosomal RNA, 253 nt
Filed under: uncultured bacterium
Lineage: Bacteria
Description: partial 16S ribosomal RNA
Rfam family: Bacterial small subunit ribosomal RNA
Source: RNAcentral
UACGAAGGGGGCUAGCGUUGUUCGGAAUUACUGGGCGUAAAGGGCGCGUAGGCGGUGCCUCAAGUCAGGCGUGAAAGCCCCGGGCUCAACCUGGGAACCGCGCUUGAGACUGGAGUACUAGAGUUCGGGAGAGGAUGGUGGAAUUCCCAGUGUAGAGGUGAAAUGCGUAGAUAUCUGGAGGAAUACCGGUGGCGAAGGCGGCAUCCUGGACCAUUACUGACGCUGAGGCGCGAAAGCUAGGGGAGCAAACGGG